AGAGCUCGGCCGAGAGCAGCAGCCGCGUCACGGGGGGCUUCACGUGCUCCUGCGCGUACUGGUCGGUGUAGAAGGGCUCCCACAGCUCCGAGGGCACAUGCUCUGUGGGGCGAGGGGGUGAUGGCGGGUCAGGGCCCACGCACCCGUGGGGAGGUCGGCGCCGGGACGGAGGCUAGGGGGCCUGGGCGGAGGCCCGCAGGUGUGCAGGAGUUCGCCAGAGGAAGAGGCUGGGGUGGAGGGGCCUGCACCAGCCGAGGCCAAGAGGUGGGAGAGCACAGCGCCUCGGGGGGAGGGCGGCUCCGGGACGGGAGAGGAGUCAGCGUGGGGCCACCUGCGCAGCGGCUUGCCGGGAGGUGGGCGGCCUUGCAGACCCUCGGACGGUAACAAUGACUUGAUCACAUGAUCUCCCCUGGCGCCCCACAAGCCUGGGAAGCAGCAGCCAGGGCACAACCAGGAACUCCAGAAACAGGCACAGAAAAGGAAAGUAACCUGCCUAAGGCCACACAGCUGGGCCACGCCGACACUGGGAUUCAAAGCCAGGCCUUUAGCAGACUCUACGCCCUCUCUCAGCUUGGAGGCUGGGGUGGGGUGGGGACAUGUCAGGACCUUCAAGAUGAAAAAAACGUGAGCCAGGCCUACCAAUAGCUAAUGCUCAUCAAGCACUUCCUCUCUACCUGUGUGUGUGCCUACACCUGGCACUACUGGCAUUGCAGCUGGAUACUUCUUUGUGUUCAGCGGGGAGUGGGGUAGGCUGUCCAGGGCGUUGUAAGAUGAGCAGCAGAGUCGCUGGUCUCUACUCACUAUAUGCCAGGAGCACCCUCCUCUAAGUAGUGACAAUGAAAAAUGUCUCCAGACACUAUCAAAGGUCUAAGAGGCAAACCACCCCACCCCACCCCACCCCCGCUUGAGAGCCACCGCUCUCUACUAAAAAUGUUUAUUAGGCAUCUAGCAUAGUGUAGUGCCGUCUGACAGAAAUACAGCUUGGCCCACAUACGUCGUUUUAUUAAACUUUGUAGUAGCCCCAUUAGAAAAGUAGAAACGAGGAACCCUAGUAACAUAUUUAACCCAAUACAUAUCUAAUACUAUCAUUUCAACAUGUAAUUAAUAUAAAAGCCUUAUGGAUGAGAUAUUUCACUUUUUUUUUUUUUCUUAUAUCAAGUCUUCAGAUAUCAGGCCACGGUGUAGUUCACUUACAUUUACAACACAUCACAACAAAGAUGAGCCACAUGUGGAUGUGGCCACCACCCUGGACCACCCAGCUCUACAACACAGCUAGCAUGUACUUAUACCACGGCCGCCUUGCAUGCAUUUGCUCGAGUAACCCUUAGGACGCUUGCUCUUAGCCCCACGGUCCCAAUGAGAAAACCAAGGCCCAGAGAGCUGAGAUAACUUGCCCAGGAUCACACAGCUAAUAAACGGCCCAGCUGACAUGAACCCAGUCUCCCCAGAGGUCACACUGAUGCUCUGGCAUGAGGGACUUUGGUGCGGUGUUUCCCAAACUUGCAUAGAGAUGGCACCCUUUGUUAUCUCUGAGUUAGAGUCCCGGAGCCCACCUGCCUGCAUUCCCACAGCCUCCUCACGCCUGUGCCUCCGGGCCACCAGAACUGCCUUCCCUUUGGGCAACUGCAUAUCUGAUCUCAUUUUGUCAAGUCCUCAAACAUGUUCCAUGGCUCCCCAGCGCCCUCAGAUUCCCCCCUCCACACACACACACACACACACACACACACACAGAGCUUGAGAGGCCCUCCUCUGUCCCACCAGCCUCUCUCAUCUCCCACCUCCCUCAGCCACCACCCCACCACGGGGACCUGCACAGUCUUCUCUGAGAACUCCCCGCUGGCCCAAACCCCCAGGCCUUUCUGCAUGCCGGUCUCCUCCCUCUGGCGAACUCCUAAAAGCAUCCCUCAAGGUUCAAACCCUCCCUCCUUUGGGGAGACUUCCUUUCUCCUUCCCUCCCAGGCAGAGCUCAGGGAUUUCCUCCUCCUGCCCCUAACAGACUCCUCUACAACACAGACCUUAUCACCCUAAGCAGCAAUGAUCCGGUUUCAUGUCCCAUCCCCCUCUCUCCCAACUCCACCCCCAUCCUCUCUGUCCUGAGCACCCAGCACCAGCCUGGCACCCAACCCGCAUGGGUAAAAAGUCCCAGAGUUCAUGAAUCAAGUAGAUCUCUGUUCCCUACUUCCUUCUCUGGGCCUGGUGUCCCACCUUCCUCAGCCCCUCCCUCUGUCUAGGGAAGGAGGGUCGGAGGAGGACUGCACCUGACCCUCAGGGAGGAUCUUGGACAGUGCAGGGAGCUGGCUCAGUGAGAACAGAACUGGGUGAGUCAGGGCAUCCCAAGAGAUCUCACUUUCCUUUCUGUGAAAUGGGACAGUAAUUUCUGCUCCACGGUAAUCUUAAUAUUCUUAAUAAAAACGCCACUACUGGGGCACCUGGGUGGCUUAGUUGGUUAAGUA
Long non-coding RNA from Canis lupus familiaris (dog), 2453 nucleotides. RefSeq lists it as uncharacterized. The transcript is spliced from 2 exons. Lineage: Eukaryota; Metazoa; Chordata; Mammalia; Carnivora; Canidae. The record is from RefSeq and is a predicted model, not a curated record.